Molecule: small RNA, 471 nt
Filed under: Pan troglodytes (chimpanzee)
Lineage: Eukaryota; Metazoa; Chordata; Mammalia; Primates; Hominidae
Description: retained intron
Source: RNAcentral
GGGGUGAGGCGAGGGGUGGGGCGAGGCCUGCAGGAGGGUGGGCUUCCCUGGACCUCAAGUGGAGGGGGCUGAGCACAGGGCCAGGAUGCUGGUCACCGGGUGGCCCUGUGAGCUCCCCUCCCUUCAGGAGCACUCCGCUCUGCCACAGGAAGGGCCUGACCUUCGUCUCUGUGCACGACUGUUACUGGACCCACGCAGCUGAUGUCUCCGUCAUGAACCAGGUGUGCCGGGAGCAGUUUGUCCGCUUGCACAGCGAGCCCAUCCUGCAGGACCUGUCCAGGUUCCUGGUCAAGCGGUUCUGCUCUGAGCCCCAGAAGAUCUUGGAGGCCAGCCAGCUGAAGGAGACACUGCAGGCGGUGCCCAAGCCAGGGGCCUUCGAUCUGGAGCAGGUGAAGCGUUCCACCUACUUUUUCAGCUGACACCCCGUGAGCCUUGUGUCAGUGUGUAAAUAAAGCUCUUUUGCCACCCCCG